GUAACGCGUAUGCAACCUACCUUUUACUGAGGGAUAGCCCGGGGAAACUCGGAUUAACACUUCAUGGUAUAUUGAGAGGGCAUCUUUUUGAUAUUAAAGGCUACGGUAAAAGAUGGGCAUGCGUCCGAUUAGCUAGUUGGCGGGGUAAUGGCCCACCAAGGCGAUGAUCGGUAGGGGACCUGAGAGGGUGAUCCCCCACACUGGCACUGAGAUACGGGCCAGACUCCUACGGGAGGCAGCAGUAGGGAAUAUUGGGCAAUGGGCGAGAGCCUGACCCAGCCAUGCCGCGUGCAGGAAGAAGGCCUUCUGGGUUGUAAACUGCUUUUGACAGGGAAGAAAAUGCUCUUGCGAGAGUUUCUGACGGUACCUGUAGAAUAAGCACCGGCUAACUCCGUGCCAGCAGCCGCGGUAAUACGGAGGGUGCAAGCGUUGUCCGGAUUUAUUGGGUUUAAAGGGUGCGUAGGCGGCUUAUUAAGUCAGUGGUGAAAUCCGACAGCUUAACUGUUGAAAUGCCAUUGAUACUGAUGAGCUUGAGUGCAGACGAGGUAGGCGGAAUUGAUAGUGUAGCGGUGAAAUGCAUAGAUACUAUCAGGAACACCGAUUGCGAAGGCAGCUUACUAGGUUGCAACUGACGCUGAGGCU
RNAcentral lists this ribosomal RNA (642 nucleotides) under uncultured bacterium. RNAcentral describes it as "bacterial SSU rRNA". It matches the Rfam family "Bacterial small subunit ribosomal RNA", at positions 110 to 753 of the family's 1533-position model. The record is from RNAcentral.